This 572-nucleotide ribosomal RNA is filed under the name uncultured bacterium. RNAcentral's name for it is "partial 16S ribosomal RNA". It matches the Rfam family "Bacterial small subunit ribosomal RNA", at positions 355 to 914 of the family's 1533-position model. The record is from RNAcentral.
UGGGGAAUUUUGGACAAUGGGCGAAAGCCUGAUCCAGCAAUGCCGCGUGUGUGAAGAAGGCCUUCGGGUUGUAAAGCACUUUUGUCCGGAAAGAAAUCCUUGGCUCUAAUACAGUCGGGGGAUGACGGUACCGGAAGAAUAAGCACCGGCUAACUACGUGCCAGCAGCCGCGGUAAUACGUAGGGUGCAAGCGUUAAUCGGAAUUACUGGGCGUAAAGCGUGCGCAGGCGGUUUGCUAAGACCGAUGUGAAAUCCCCGGGCUCAACCUGGGAACUGCAUUGGUGACUGGCAGGCUAGAGUAUGGCAGAGGGGGGUAGAAUUCCACGUGUAGCAGUGAAAUGCGUAGAGAUGUGGAGGAAUACCGAUGGCGAAGGCAGCCCCCUGGGCCAAUACUGACGCUCAUGCACGAAAGCGUGGGGGAGCAAAACAGGAUUAGAUACCCCUGGGUAGUCCACGCCCCUAAAACGAUGUCAACUAGUUGUUGGGGAUUCAUUUCCUUAGUAACGUAGCUAACGCGUGAAGUUGACCGCCUGGGGAGUACGGUCGCAAGAUUAAAACUCAAAUGAAUUGAC